This 392-nucleotide ribosomal RNA is filed under the name uncultured bacterium. RNAcentral's name for it is "partial 16S ribosomal RNA". It matches the Rfam family "Bacterial small subunit ribosomal RNA", at positions 523 to 918 of the family's 1533-position model. The record is from RNAcentral.
AUACGGAGGAUCCGAGCGUUAUCCGGAUUUAUUGGGUUUAAAGGGUGCGCAGGCGGCCAUUUAAGUCUGCGGUUAAAUCGUGGGGCUCAACCCCAUUCUGCCGUUGAUACUGGGUGGCUUGAUUGCGGUCGAGGUUGGCGGAAUUCGUUGUGGAGCGGUGAAAUGCAUAGAUAUGACGAAGAACACCGAUUGCGUAGGCAGCUGACCAGACCGCAAAUGACGCUCAUGCACGAAAGUGCGGGGAUCGAACAGGAUUAGAUACCCUGGUAGUCCGCACAGUAAACGAUGAAUACUUGUUUUCGGCGAUAUAAUGUCGGAGGCAAAGCGAAAGCGAUAAGUAUUCCACCUGGGGAGUACGCCGGCAACGGUGAAACUCAAAUGAAUUGACGGGG